RNAcentral lists this ribosomal RNA (812 nucleotides) under uncultured Verrucomicrobiota bacterium. RNAcentral describes it as "bacterial SSU rRNA". It matches the Rfam family "Bacterial small subunit ribosomal RNA", at positions 60 to 850 of the family's 1533-position model. The record is from RNAcentral. Lineage: Bacteria; Pseudomonadati; Verrucomicrobiota.
AGUCGAACGGAUUAUCUUCUGUAGCAAUACAGGAGGUGGUCAGUGGCGCAAGGGUGCGUAACACGUGGGCAACCUGCCCGGAAGUGGGGGAUAGCUCGCCGAAAGGCGAAUUAAUACCGCAUGUGACUACUGGUGGAAUCACCGGGACGUCAAAGUCGGGGCAACCUGACGCUUCUGGAUGGGCCCGCGGCCUAUCAGCUUGUUGGUGAGGUAACGGCUCACCAAGGCGAUGACGGGUAGCUGGUCUGAGAGGACGACCAGCCACACUGGAACUGAGACACGGUCCAGACACCUACGGGUGGCAGCAGUCGAGAAUUUUUCUCAAUGGGGGAAACCCUGAAGGAGCGACGCCGCGUGGAGGAUGAAGGUCUUCGGAUUGUAAACUCCUGUCAUUGGUGAACAAGGCUAGGCGAGUAACUGCGCUCUAGUUUGAUAGUAGCCGAAGAGGAAGAGACGGCUAACUCUGUGCCAGCAGCCGCGGUAAUACAGAGGUCUCAAGCGUUGUUCGGAUUCAUUGGGCGUAAAGGGUGCGUAGGCGGUGAGGCAAGUCUGGUGUGAAAUCCCGGAGCUCAACUCCGGAACUGCACUGGAUACUGCUUUACUUGAGCACUGGAGAGGGAACUGGAAUUUACGGUGUAGCAGUGAAAUGCGUAGAUAUCGUAAGGAAGACCAGUGGCGAAGGCGAGUUCCUGGACAGUUGCUGACGCUGAGGCACGAAGGCCAGGGGAGCAAACGGGAUUAGAUACCCCGGUAGUCCUGGCAGUAAACGGUGCGCGUUUGGUGUGGGAAGAAUCGACCCCUUCCGUGCCGGA